CCUACGGGAGGCUGCAGUGGGGGAUAUUGCACAAUGGGGGGAACCCUGAUGCAGCGACGCCGCGUGGGUGAAGAAGCGCCUCGGCGCGUAAAGCCCUGUCAGCAGGGAAGAAAAUGACUGUACCUGAAGAAGAAGCCCCGGCUAACUACGUGCCAGCAGCCGCGGUAAUACGUAGGGGGCAAGCGUUAUCCGGAUUUACUGGGUGGAAAGGGGGCGCAGACGGCGAUGCAAGCCAGGAGUGAAAGCCCGGGGCCCAACCCCGGGACUGCGCUUGGAACUGGGUGGCUGGAGUGCAGGAGGGGCAGGCGGAAUUCCUGGUGGAGCGGUGAAAUGCGUAGAGAUCAGGAGGAACACCGGUGGCGAAGGCGGCCUGCUGGACUGCAACUGACGUUGAGGCCCGAAAGCGUGGGGAGCAAACAGGAUUAGAUACCCGGGUAGUC
This 440-nucleotide ribosomal RNA is filed under the name uncultured bacterium. Its description in RNAcentral is "partial 16S ribosomal RNA". It matches the Rfam family "Bacterial small subunit ribosomal RNA", at positions 338 to 795 of the family's 1533-position model. The record is from RNAcentral.